AAGUGCCUACCACGCCACCCCCUAUCUGCAAGAAUCCAUCUGAAGAGGUCGCGGGGCAGCGGCUCCGCAGACAGACUGACCUGCGGGGAGGUGCGGUUUCCAGUGGCGCGGGACAAGCCGGCUCCGAGAGGGAACUGGGACCUUUGCCUAGGGCAAGACGUCAACAGGAACCCGCAGGCCCGCCCUGGACACCUGCUUCCCGCACUGGAGGCUUUAACUCCCACUCGAGUCUCUUGGCGUCGUCAGUGCCAGGAGCGCUUGGAUUGGGAUGGGGACGGAGAAAGGUGCCUCGCUCGCCGAGCCCCGCUGCACUUGGGGACCUGGCAAAGUCGAGGUUUCCUCACAGCGUUGAGAUUGAGACUGGGGAUCGGCAGCACUGAGGAGUAAAGGAAUAUUUGGGAGGAUCAGAAGCUUGGUCCUGAUUUUGCCAUCAACCAGGACCUUGAUGACUUCAAGGGAGUCCCCAAACCCUGGGUUUCUGUUUUCUCAACUCUAACAUGAGGGGCUAGACGCAUCUGGUUUAGUUCGUCUCCAUGAUCCUGUGAAUUUCAGAUGUUGAAAAUCUUCAGAAAAGCCCUGAAAGAUGAAGAGUGGUCUCAAAUAGUCAAGACCCCCUGCUGGGGGGAGCGUCUAUCCUGCUCUGUGGAAGAAAUGGGCAUGCCAGAUGCCUGGAAGAUCAGAGGCUCACAUUCCAGCACCAUUCACAAUAGCAAGGACAUGGAAUCAACCUAAGAGCCCAUCAACAGUGGACUGGAUAGAGAAAAUGAGGUACGACUACACCAUGGAAUACUAUGCAGCCAUAAAAAAGAAUGAAAUCAUGUCCUUUCAGCAACAUGGAUGGAGCUG
This 846-nucleotide non-coding RNA is filed under the name Pongo abelii (Sumatran orangutan). Lineage: Eukaryota; Metazoa; Chordata; Mammalia; Primates; Hominidae. The record is from RNAcentral.